GCUCCUGUGGCCUAAUGGAUAAGGCGUUGGAUUCCGAAUCCAAAGCAUGUGGGUUCGAUCCCCACCAGGAGCU
This is a non-coding RNA of Nephila pilipes (giant wood spider), 73 nucleotides long. The record is from the annotation of a GenBank genome assembly. Lineage: Eukaryota; Metazoa; Arthropoda; Arachnida; Araneae; Nephilidae.